GACGAACGCUGGCGGCGUGCCUAACACAUGCAAGUCGAGCGAAUGAAGUUCCUUCGGGAAUGGAUUUAGCGGCGGACGGGUGAGUAACACGUGGGCAACCUGCCUCAUAGAGGGGAAUAGCCUUCCGAAAGGGAGAUUAAUACCGCAUAAGAUUGUAGUAUCGCAUGAUACAGCAAUUAAAGGAGCAAUCCGCUAUGAGAUGGGCCCGCGGCGCAUUAGUUAGUUGGUGAGGUAACGGCUCACCAAGGCGACGAUGCGUAGCCGACCUGAGAGGGUGAUCGGCCACAUUGGGACUGAGACACAGCCCAGACUCCUACGGGAGGCAGCAGUGGGGAAUAUAGCACAAUGGGGGAAACCCUGAUGCAGCAACGCCGCGUGAGUGAUGACGGCCUUCGGGUUGUAAAGCUCUGUCUUCAGGGACGAUAAUGACGGUACCUGAGGAGGAAGCCACGGCUAACUACGUG
RNAcentral lists this ribosomal RNA (464 nucleotides) under uncultured bacterium. RNAcentral's name for it is "partial 16S ribosomal RNA". It matches the Rfam family "Bacterial small subunit ribosomal RNA", at positions 28 to 507 of the family's 1533-position model. The record is from RNAcentral.